RNAcentral lists this transfer RNA (78 nucleotides) under Anaerolineales bacterium. Its description in RNAcentral is "tRNA-Glu". RNAcentral also lists the same sequence under 1 other name. Lineage: Bacteria; Bacillati; Chloroflexota; Anaerolineae; Anaerolineales. The record is from RNAcentral.
GCCGUCGUUAGCUUCCGCCCUGUAUGAUCAGAGCCUUUCAAGCUUAAAACCGGAGUUCGAAUCUCCGUGAGGGCACCA